GAUGAACGCUGGCGGCGUGCUUAACACAUGCAAGUCGAGCGAAGCGAUUUUAAGGAAGCCUUCGGGUGGAAUUAAGAUUGACUUAGCGGCGGACGGGUGAGUAACGCGUGGGUAACCUGCCUCAUACAGGGGGAUAACAGUUAGAAAUGACUGCUAAUACCGCAUAAGCGCACAGUGUUGCAUAGCACAGUGUGAAAAACUCCGGUGGUAUGAGAUGGACCCGCGUCUGAUUAGGUAGUUGGUGAGGUAACGGCCCACCAAGCCGACGAUCAGUAGCCGACCUGAGAGGGUGACCGGCCACAUUGGGACUGAGACACGGCCCAAACUCCUACGGGAGGCAGCAGUGAGGAAUAUUGGACAAUGGGGGAAACCUUGAUCCAGCGACGCCGCGUGACUGAAGAAGUAUUUCGGUAUGUAAAGGUCUAUCAGCAGGGAGGAAAAUGACGGUACCUGACUAAGAAGCCCCGGCUAACUACGUGCCAGCCGCCGCCGUAA
This 495-nucleotide ribosomal RNA is filed under the name uncultured bacterium. RNAcentral's name for it is "partial 16S ribosomal RNA". It matches the Rfam family "Bacterial small subunit ribosomal RNA", at positions 28 to 523 of the family's 1533-position model. The record is from RNAcentral.